Molecule: ribosomal RNA, 293 nt
Filed under: uncultured eukaryote
Lineage: Eukaryota
Description: partial 18S ribosomal RNA
Rfam family: Eukaryotic small subunit ribosomal RNA
Source: RNAcentral
GGUUGAUCCUGCCAGUAGUCAUAUGCUUGUCUCAAAGAUUAAGCCAUGCAUGUCUAAGUAUAAACAAUCUAUACUGUGAAACUGCGAAUGGCUCAUUAAAUCAGUUAUAGUUUACUUGAUAAUCUCUUUUACUACAUGGAUAACCGUGGUAAUUCUAGAGCUAAUACAUGCACAAAUGUUCGACUCACGAAGAACAGUACUAAUUAGAUUAAAAACCAUCCCGGGUCAUUCCGGUUCACUGGUGAUUCAUAAUUAUUUUUCGGAUCGUACGCUUCGGCAAACGACGUUUCAUU